Long non-coding RNA from Gasterosteus aculeatus aculeatus (three-spined stickleback), 891 nucleotides. NCBI's taxonomy places the organism in Eukaryota, Metazoa, Chordata, Actinopteri, Perciformes, Gasterosteidae. The record is from Ensembl.
UGAGAGAUGAGAUGUGAGAGAUGAGAUGAGAGAGAUGAGAGAGAUGUGAGAGAUGAGAUGUGAGAGAUGAGAUGUGAGAGAUGAGAUAUGUGAGAGAUGAGAGAGAUGAGAUGUGAGAGAUGAGAGAGAUGUGAGAGAUGAUAUGAGAUGUGAGAGAUGUGAGAGAUGAGAGAGAUGUGAGAGAUGAGAUGUGAGAGAUGUGAUGUCUGAGAACUCACAAACUAGAAGGUUGUUGUAUCUCUUUUUAUAUCAUUAAAGAUGGAUUAUUAUGAUCCAAACACAGGCUUAAUUAGACUGCACAGAUUUCCUGUUUACAGUAACAGGUUCUGACAGCAGGUUGACAGGAUGGGGGCUUUCCCAGCUGAAAGUGCCUUUUACUCAUGAGUUUCGGCGUCAUUACUCCAUCUCUGGUAAUUCACGGUACAUGUGUUAACCGUGUUAGGGGACGGCGGGGUACAGGGCAGCGUGGGUCUGCUUCUGAGGGACCAGAAGGUUUUCCUCGGGGGGGUUGUUCUGUCUUGGAGGAGUGCUAAAAAAAAAAAAAGUUUGUUUUAACUAAGACAUUCCGGGUCAUUGUUUUCCCACAGAGCGCGCCGGAAUCUGUCAGGAAAAAACAAUCACCCCUCUAAAACCAAAAAAAAGAAGAGUAUUGCACGUUGAUUCAUUCUGCAUUGCAGCUAUUCUAGUGGCAUGAUUUAGAAUAGCUCCUAAUAAAGUGGCAGUAACAGACUGUCUGAUGUGAGCUGUAACUGUUUGCAUUGGAAAGAAGACACCGCUAAAUAUGAGAUGUUUGUUUUGGAGAUCACAGCUUCCUGGGUCCUUCAGCAGAGUAAACAUCACACUCGCUCUGCUCUCUCACUCCGUGCUUUGAUGUGACUUUUUCUCUAAAUU